GACGAACAGAGCGAACGUUGUUCGGAAUCACUGGGCUUAAAGGGCGCGUAGGCGGGUGCUCAAGUCUGUGGUGAAAUCCUCCGGCUCAACCGGAGAACUGCCAUGGAUACUGGGUGCCUCGAGGGUGGUAGGGGUAUGCGGAACUAUCGGUGGAGCGGUGAAAUGCGUUGAUAUCGAUAGGAACUCCGGUGGCGAAGGCGGCAUACUGGACCACUUCUGACGCUGAGGCGCGAAAGCCAGGGGAGCGAACGGG
RNAcentral lists this ribosomal RNA (253 nucleotides) under uncultured bacterium. Its description in RNAcentral is "partial 16S ribosomal RNA". It matches the Rfam family "Bacterial small subunit ribosomal RNA", at positions 524 to 776 of the family's 1533-position model. The record is from RNAcentral.